AGUUCGGAUUGUAGUCUGCAACUCGACUACAUGAAGCUGGAAUCGCUAGUAAUCGCGGAUCAGAAUGCCGCGGUGAAUACGUUCCCGGGUCUUGUACACACCGCCCGUCACACCAUGGGAGUCGGAAAUGCCCGAAGUCUGUGACCGAACCGAAAGGAAGGAGCAGCCGAAGGCAGGUCGGAUGACUGGGGUGAAGUCGUAACAAGGUAGC
RNAcentral lists this ribosomal RNA (211 nucleotides) under uncultured bacterium. RNAcentral's name for it is "partial 16S ribosomal RNA". It matches the Rfam family "Bacterial small subunit ribosomal RNA", at positions 1290 to 1500 of the family's 1533-position model. The record is from RNAcentral.